CUUCGCUGUGGUUGCUAUGGUAACUGGCUGACUGGGAAGUAUAGAAACAGGAUUCAGAUGCUGGAAUGCAUGCUAUUAACGAAGUCGGCGUAAUGGAGGAGGUUUGCCCUGCUUGCCAGUAAAGAGUGUGGGAGGAGUGUGAGGGAACCGUAGGUGGGCAUUGUAAGUAAUACCUACUUCUGUAAGGAGAUCGUGGCGGGUCAGGUAAGUGCCUGACAGUUCCCCUUUAAGUGCUGUCCAGG
This is a non-coding RNA of Pelobates cultripes (western spadefoot toad), 242 nucleotides long. The record is from the annotation of a GenBank genome assembly. NCBI's taxonomy places the organism in Eukaryota, Metazoa, Chordata, Amphibia, Anura, Pelobatidae.